Molecule: ribosomal RNA, 500 nt
Filed under: uncultured bacterium
Lineage: Bacteria
Description: partial 16S ribosomal RNA
Rfam family: Bacterial small subunit ribosomal RNA
Source: RNAcentral
AUUGAACGCUGGCGGAAUGCUUUACACAUGCAAGUCGAACGGCAGCACGGACUUCGGUCUGGUGGCGAGUGGCGAACGGGUGAGUAAUACAUCGGAACGUGCCCAAUCGUGGGGGAUAACGUAGCGAAAGCUACGCUAAUACCGCAUACGAUCUAAGGAUGAAAGCGGGGGAUCGCAAGACCUCGCGCGAUUGGAGCGGCCGAUGGCAGAUUAGGUAGUUGGUAGGGUAAAGGCCUACCAAGCCGACGAUCUGUAGCUGGUCUGAGAGGAUGGUCAGCCACCCUGGGACUGAGACACGGCCCAGACUCCUACGGGGGGCAGCGGUGGGGAAUUUUGGACAAUGGACCAAAGUCUGAUCCAGCCAUUCCGCGUGCAGGAUGAAGGCCCUCGGGUUGUAAACUGCUUUUGUACAGAACGAAAAGGCUCUGGUUAAUACCUAGGGCUCAUGACGGUACUGUAAGAAUAAGCACCGGCUAACUACGUGCCAGCAGCCGCCGUAA